Molecule: transfer RNA, 81 nt
Filed under: Schizothecium vesticola
Lineage: Eukaryota; Fungi; Ascomycota; Sordariomycetes; Sordariales; Schizotheciaceae
Description: tRNA-Gly
Source: RNAcentral
GCGUCAGUGGUUUAGUGGUGAAAUCCAUCGUUGCCAUACGCAACACUCGAUGGGUCCCGCGCUCGAUUCGCGGCUGACGCA